Megalobrama amblycephala (Wuchang bream) is the source of this 1114-nucleotide long non-coding RNA. RefSeq lists it as uncharacterized. The transcript is spliced from 3 exons. NCBI's taxonomy places the organism in Eukaryota, Metazoa, Chordata, Actinopteri, Cypriniformes, Xenocyprididae. The record is from RefSeq and is a predicted model, not a curated record.
CCAUUUUUAAUGUAAAUGUCUUUUGAACUUGUUUCUCAGAUUGUUAUUCAAUGGAUCAUCCGGUAGGGGGCGGUAAUGCAACAGCCGCGCCGCGUUCAAAGAGCGAAGAAAAAGACACAGCAUGAACCAACAACAUCAGACUUCUGUGACUUUAAAACAGAGUGUUUAAAUGGCGUCAGGAAGCGCACUGAUCUUUGAUGAGGAAAUGAUUGGUUAUAAACUCCUCUGGACAGACGUCAGAAUGUACUCGGCAAACUCCCGAAUGGCUCCGUGGCCACCGGGUCUCUGGCAGAUGUAUUUAGCUGCAAUGAGAUCAGCCACAGGUGCAUCACAUGGGACGCCAUUCAGCCCCACCUGAGACAGGACAUCUACAUCUUCAGCUUCUGAACCUGUCACAGACUGCUCAAUAAACCUUUAAUUAUUUUGCAUGUGGUUCCAGGUUUGUUUACACCAUUCGUUUGGACCUUCACAUCUCUUACAGUGCAAAACAUUGCAAAAUGGUCUAGAGCAAAGCUUUACCUGACAGCCUAUGAUACAUGGAAUAAUUCAUUAAUAAAGGAGCCAGCGUCACAUUCUCUAUAUCUAUCGCCUCGAUGGCUGGCAAGUCUUUCAAUUCAGUAGAAAAGUCGCUCCUCUUCAUAACAUAAGGAUCACGUCCAACAUAUGUUAUGAUUUUCUGUUUAUACCUUUCUAAACCAGCACAGAACGGACUUUUCUCCAUCUCUCCCAUUCUAAUUUUCAUUGCUCGCCACCAUAUUUUCACGUGUCAUCAGAACCAUGUGAUUGCAAACAACCUAUUUUGCCUUAAUCAUGUUUCCUGCUUUCUGUUUUUCGUGUGAUUCCCUGUUCCCAUAAUGUGAUCAUGUCCUGUGCUUCCCAAAUCUUAUGUGUCAGGUUCUGUUGUUCUGGUUAUGUGUCCUUUUUUCUCAUUGUUUCCUUGUUAGUCAUUACACCUGUUCCGGUUUAGCUUUGUCCCUGUAGCUGCUGUUUGGUGAGUCCAUGUCAAGUCCAGGUUUAUGUUCAAGUUUUGUUUAUGGUCAUAGUUUUAUCAUGUCAAGUCUUUUUGUAUUUGGUUCACAUUUUGGUUAAAUAAACUACACAUGGGUUUUUACUG